RNAcentral lists this unclassified non-coding RNA (392 nucleotides) under Massarina sp. JP-2013. Its description in RNAcentral is "sequence contains 18S rRNA gene, ITS1, 5.8S rRNA gene, ITS2, 28S rRNA gene". The stretch from base 206 to 359 matches the Rfam family "5.8S ribosomal RNA". Lineage: Eukaryota; Fungi; Ascomycota; Dothideomycetes; Pleosporales; Massarinaceae. The record is from RNAcentral.
UUAGAGGAAGUAAAAGUCGUAACAAGGUUUCCGUAGGUGAACCUGCGGAAGGAUCAUUAUCGUAGGGCUUUUGUCCUGUCGAGAUAGCGUCCUUGCCUAUUUUUUGGAGCACCGUUCGUUUCCUCAGCAGGCUUGCCUGCUACUGGGGACCCCUCAAAACUCUUUGUAAAUAUAGUAAUCGUCUGAAAAACAAACAAUAAAUCAAAACUUUCAACAAUGGAUCUCUUGGUUCUGGCAUCGAUGAAGAACGCAGCAAAAUGCGAUAAGUAGUGUGAAUUGCAGAAUUCAGUGAAUCAUCGAAUCUUUGAACGCACAUUGCGCCCUUUGGUAUUCCUUAGGGCAUGCCUGUUCGAGCGUCAUUUACACCCUCAAGCACAGCUUGGUGUUGGGCG